Long non-coding RNA from Myxocyprinus asiaticus (Chinese sucker), 270 nucleotides. RefSeq lists it as uncharacterized. NCBI's taxonomy places the organism in Eukaryota, Metazoa, Chordata, Actinopteri, Cypriniformes, Catostomidae. The transcript has 4 exons. The record is from RefSeq and is a predicted model, not a curated record.
GUUACAGCUUCCUUAGCAACAGCUAUUUUCUAUUGUGAUUUCUUUGGGCCGAGGAGGACUGUACCUGGACAGAAUGGACUCAGUUAACACAGGUUCUGAAUUACAUGCCUCCCAAUGGAACAGGAUUGGAUUUCUAGCUCAACCCAAGACCUCUAAGACAGUUUGGGCCACAAUACCCUGGACGUUGACAUGGGGAAACCAGGAAUCAAUAUGGCCCCUGUCCCGCUCUGCACUGCGAGCUGUUCCAAGCUCCAGAAUAAAAGCUCUGGC